AUGUCUCCUAGGUAUCAGAAUGUCAUCCAGACAUAUGGCAUGGGUUGUCUCUUAAACUUUGUUAGGACUGAGGUUCCUCUUAGGUUAGUGAAGUGGCUUGCUAGUAGGUUUGACAUACCUUCAUCUGAAUUUCAGUUCAAAAGAAAAUUUAUCCCAGUGACCAAGUAUGAUAUCCAUGAUAUCCUUGACCUCACAGUAGAUGGUGAGCCACUUGUGUGUGAUCCUGACUCUGGCCGUGAUUUUAUCCUGUCUCACUUCAAUGUUUCCAAUAUUCCUCCUGUCUCUUUCUUCACCAACAAGCUUAAGUCCACCGAAGUCGAGUUGUCUGAUGAAGAAAUUUUCAUUUGCUUUGCGUUGUCCUCAUUCCUUUGUCCCAACUCUAGCCUCAGUCCUAGCCCAAAGUACCUGCAUAUUCUCAGGGAUUGUUCUUCUAUGUGUAACUAUGAUCUGGCCAGAUUUGUAUAUGAGUGGUUGUUGAGCAGCAUAAAAAAGUUCAAGGAUUGCACAAAAGUUGCUUCUAAAAGAUCAAUGACGUUUGAUGGUUGUCACUAUGCUUUUGCUGUGUGUUACCUUGACCAACUUAAUUUUGGUCUCCAUUCUGUACCUGAUAUCAAGCCUCGGAUUCUAGCAUGGAGAGGUAACAAAGUUAAGAAAUUUUCAGAGCUUGAUAGAAACAAUAGCCGCUCUUAUGGCAAGAGACCUCUAAAGCGGUUGUGUCCUCCAAUUAAUCCGCAGCAGUCUAUUGAGAAAUCUUCAGCAAGCAAGGAUGGUGAUGUUCCCCCUUGUAGUGACAUGCUUUUUGAAAUGAAUGUGCAGAAAUCCUUGGGUGCUCGUUUUGGGUUUGAGGCUGCUCAAGUAGUUAUAGACCUUGUUCAAUCCAGGAACAAAGACAAGCCCAAGCUGUUUGUAGAAUGGUCACACUCCCUUGUAAUUGAUGUUCUAGAAUGCUUAUCACUCUCUACUCUAAAUGCCAAAUUUGUCCUGGCACCUAAAGUUUCUUCAAGUGAGGGUCAUUCUCUCAACUAG
Molecule: ribosomal RNA, 1026 nt
Filed under: Triticum aestivum (bread wheat)
Lineage: Eukaryota; Viridiplantae; Streptophyta; Magnoliopsida; Poales; Poaceae
Description: partial small subunit ribosomal RNA
Source: RNAcentral